This 307-nucleotide ribosomal RNA is filed under the name uncultured bacterium. Its description in RNAcentral is "partial 16S ribosomal RNA". It matches the Rfam family "Bacterial small subunit ribosomal RNA", at positions 506 to 807 of the family's 1533-position model. The record is from RNAcentral.
AGACAGCAGCAGCCGCGGUAAUACAGAGGGUGCGAGCGUUAAUCGGAUUUACUGGGCGUAAAGCGUGCGUAGGCGGCUAAUUGAGUCGGAUGUGAAAUCCCCGAGCUUAACUUGGGAAUUGCAUUCGAUACUGGUUAGCUAGAGUGUGGGAGAGGAUGGUAGAAUUCCAGGUGUAGCGGUGAAAUGCGUAGAGAUCUGGAGGAAUACCGAUGGCGAAGGCAGCCAUCUGGCCUAAUACUGACGCUGAGGUACGAAAGCAUGGGGAGCAAACAGGAUUAGAUACCCCGGUAGUCCCUGUCUCUUAUAC